This 544-nucleotide ribosomal RNA is filed under the name Salmonella enterica subsp. enterica serovar Infantis. RNAcentral's name for it is "bacterial SSU rRNA". It matches the Rfam family "Bacterial small subunit ribosomal RNA", at positions 1 to 534 of the family's 1533-position model. Lineage: Bacteria; Pseudomonadati; Pseudomonadota; Gammaproteobacteria; Enterobacterales; Enterobacteriaceae. The record is from RNAcentral. RNAcentral also lists the same sequence under 1 other name.
AAAUUGAAGAGUUUGAUCAUGGCUCAGAUUGAACGCUGGCGGCAGGCCUAACACAUGCAAGUCGAACGGUAACAGGAAGCAGCUUGCUGCUUCGCUGACGAGUGGCGGACGGGUGAGUAAUGUCUGGGAAACUGCCUGAUGGAGGGGGAUAACUACUGGAAACGGUGGCUAAUACCGCAUAACGUCGCAAGACCAAAGAGGGGGACCUUCGGGCCUCUUGCCAUCAGAUGUGCCCAGAUGGGAUUAGCUUGUUGGUGAGGUAACGGCUCACCAAGGCGACGAUCCCUAGCUGGUCUGAGAGGAUGACCAGCCACACUGGAACUGAGACACGGUCCAGACUCCUACGGGAGGCAGCAGUGGGGAAUAUUGCACAAUGGGCGCAAGCCUGAUGCAGCCAUGCCGCGUGUAUGAAGAAGGCCUUCGGGUUGUAAAGUACUUUCAGCGGGGAGGAAGGUGUUGCGGUUAAUAACCGCAGCAAUUGACGUUACCCGCAGAAGAAGCACCGGCUAACUCCGUGCCAGCAGCCGCGGUAAUACGGAGGGUG